AAUUGCCAUCACCGACCCCCAAUUCGGCGAUUCCCCACUCCCCCAACCCCAAACCUUUCAUACAACUUCAACCACCGCCGCACCACCACAUCCGUGGCCGCAUCACCACUUGAAAACUGCCAAUACCCAGAAAUUUGAUCAAUUAGGUGAACGAAUCUCAUACAUUAAAUAAGAGAAAUUGGGACUGUUCGGGGAGAAUCACCUCGUCAUAAUCAAACAACUUCAGCAACAACAAAUCAAAAAAAAAAAAAUGAAGGGAAUGGGUUUUACAAGUUCUGUUUCUUUUCUCCAUCACGAUUCACGCAGGGGGUCGGCGGCCCUUCGAUUUGUCGACCCGGCUGCUCAGCGAUAAUUAAGAAUAGCUCGACGACCUCGUUCUUCCAUCUUCUCCAACGAAUUAAGUAUAUUCGUGCGGCAGGUCGGUUUUUCCGCCCGGUUUUUGCUGGAAAAAGUCACAACAGAGAAGGUGGGGAUGAGAAGAUGGCUUUUUUGGAAAUAUGAAGGACUGAAUUGAAAAUUUUCAAACUUUACUUUGGUGCUGAAACUUUUGGGAUGAAUGUGCAAUUUUCAAAAUUUCUAAUUUAAAGGGUAUUUAUGUAUUUUUAGGUCAAAAAGCGCAAUCCCACUUGCAUACACGGCGAGUGCAGUGCACGAUAAGCUGUAUUGGACUUUUUUGGCUUUGACUAAUUUUCAUAAGGGGGUAUUUGCUAAUUUUUAUAACACGAGUGUGCUUUCAGCAAUUAGAGAUUUCAG
Molecule: long non-coding RNA, 753 nt
Filed under: Erythranthe guttata (spotted monkey flower)
Lineage: Eukaryota; Viridiplantae; Streptophyta; Magnoliopsida; Lamiales; Phrymaceae
Description: long non-coding RNA (EGUT_LNC000890)
Source: RNAcentral